RNAcentral lists this ribosomal RNA (698 nucleotides) under Acanthamoebidae sp. EO-2012. RNAcentral's name for it is "SSU rRNA". It matches the Rfam family "Eukaryotic small subunit ribosomal RNA", at positions 720 to 1166 of the family's 1831-position model. Lineage: Eukaryota; Discosea; Longamoebia; Acanthamoebidae. The record is from RNAcentral.
CGACUGCGUUGGCGUUGCGGGCUCGGUCCGUCGGUGCCCACAAAGCACUGGCGUGUCAACCGGCCCGCCCGUCCCCUCCUUCUGGAUUCCCGUUCCUGCUAUUGAGUUAGUGGGGACGUCACAGGGAGCUCAUCGUCGUCAGCAAUGCCGGCGGUGGGUUCCUGGGGCCCAGAUCGUUUACCGUGAAAAAAUUAGAGUGUUCAAAGCAGGCAGAUCCAAUUUUCUGCCACCGAAUACAUUAGCAUGGGAUAAUGGAAUAGGACCCUGUCCUCCUAUUUUCAGUUGGUUUUGGCAGCGCGAGGACUAGGGUAAUGAUUAAUAGGGAUAGUUGGGGGCAUUAAUAUUUAAUUGUCAGAGGUGAAAUUCUUGGAUUUAUGAAAGAUUAACUUCUGCGAAAGCAUCUGCCAAGGAUGUUUUCAUUAAUCAAGAACGAAAGUUAGGGGAUCGAAGACGAUCAGAUACCGUCGUAGUCUUAACCAUAAACGAUGCCGACCAGCGAUUAGGAGACGUUGAAUACAAAACACCACCAUCGGUGCGGUCGUCCUUGGCGUCUCGGUUUCGGCCGGGGUGCGGGGACGGCUUAGCCCGGUGGCACCGGUGAAUGACUCCCCUAGCAGCUUGUGAGAAAUCAUAAGUCUUUGGGUUCCGGGGGGAGUAUGGUCGCAAGGCUGAAACUUAAAGGAAUUGACGGAAGGGCA